This 223-nucleotide unclassified non-coding RNA is filed under the name uncultured fungus. Its description in RNAcentral is "sequence contains ITS1". Lineage: Eukaryota; Fungi. The record is from RNAcentral.
GUAUUGAGUUUUAUUAACUAACUGUUCUAAUCAUUUCCACCGGAAACUCAAACAGUAGUUUAUUGAUAUUUUUUUAGUCAGAAAUAAAAAAAGUACCUAAAACACAGCUUUUACAGCACAACCUGUUCAAAAAGAACACGUCUUGCAUAAAAACCUGUAUUUUCUGCACUCGUAAAUGGGAAAAAAACAUUUAAUGAUCCUUCCGCAGGUUCACCUACGGAAA